This is a long non-coding RNA of Helicoverpa armigera (cotton bollworm), 619 nucleotides long. RefSeq lists it as uncharacterized. The transcript is spliced from 4 exons. The record is from RefSeq and is a predicted model, not a curated record. Lineage: Eukaryota; Metazoa; Arthropoda; Insecta; Lepidoptera; Noctuidae.
UUAAAAAUGAAGCUAAAACACCUAUAAUUGAAGACAGAGAAAUGAAAAAGAAAAAGGGCAAAUAUUUUGAAACAAAAGACAAUAUGGAUGAUUUCGAAAAAUCUUUCAAUGUUGAAAUAGUUAUUUUAAGUAAAGAACAACAAUUUAACGAUGUAUUAGAAAGAAAGAAUAAUAGUAAUUAUUUGCAAAGCCCUUAUAAAUGUGAAAAUUGUUACAAAGGGUACAUGUCUGAAGAUAUUUUGAAAAAACAUUUGCUAUCUCAACAUGAUAAAAGUCGAGGCGACAUAAUAUGUGAAUUUUGUAAAUUUCGUUACAAAGAUAGGAGAGGGUUGAACCAUCAUUUAAAAACACAUAGAUUGAAGUUUAUUUGCAAACAAUGUGCUUAUGUUUCUAGGACUACUUUCAACGCAAAGGAACAUUUUAAAAUGCACGGUGGACAAGUUCAUCAAUGUAGUCACUGCGGGAAAUCUCAUGAGAAGCUGUCGAGUCACCUAUCUCACAUUCGUCUAAAUCACCCGUCUUCUCUCGUUUGGUGCCACAUAUGCGCGCAGGCGUGUGUCGGCGAGUUCGGACUUAACGCUCAUAUGAAGAAAGCGCAUAGGCAUGUAUGUAUGUUCAU